CGUCGAUCGUUUGGGACUUAUCAGUUUUAGAGAAAGACAUUUUCAUCGAACUUGAACACAUCAAACCUUAUAAGUCACCUGAAACACCUGAGGAAGAAGCGGGAAAACCCCUGUCCCUCGCGCCCACCCCUCCGGGUGGCAACCACUCCCCCUAUCGAUCGUUCCGGGGUGAAUUAUGUACCGUUGCUGGUUCACUGCGGCUCUUCCUUCUACCCCAUGAGCAUCUCUCCCAAUGAGCGGGUGCAUCUAAAUGCGAGUGUCUUUUAAAGGUUUUUUUUUGUGUGAGUCAUGUAAAAUCCCCUUCACAGUGACACCUUUAACUGUGCAGGGUGAUGAGAUGAAUUGGACCAAUGUCGGGAGUGUCACGAUACGUGGGGAUUUUGACACUCUUUUCCACUAAAUGACUGUGAGUGUGCACACGAUCCUCAUUAGACCUCAUGGCCUGUAAGUGACUGCAAACGACAACCUGUGCAGCGUUUGCAUGCCCUCAGCCAACAGGCCAGUCAUAGUGGUGAGAUUCUGAGAAGGCAAGGUGCCUCCCCGUCCACUCUCACAAUCAAUGGCACAACUGUGUCUCCUCACGCAAACUAUUUUUUUGUGUUUGUUGGUGAUAUAAACAUCCAUCAUUCCUGCUAGUAUGUUAAGAAAACAAAUGAGAAAAGCGAUGACGUCCUGCAUUGAGGGGGUGGGGGAAGAAGUAGUCACAUUAGGGGCAGCCCCUCUACCCGUUUCUCAUUCUGGAAAUUCACAGGUGAGUUUUCAAAUUAGAAUGCAUUUAGAGGAAAAUCAUUAUUAUAACUUAUAUUAUUUUAGUACGUGUUUUUUUUGGUUCAUGU
This is a non-coding RNA of Doryrhamphus excisus (bluestripe pipefish), 836 nucleotides long. NCBI's taxonomy places the organism in Eukaryota, Metazoa, Chordata, Actinopteri, Syngnathiformes, Syngnathidae. The record is from RefSeq and is a predicted model, not a curated record.